Molecule: non-coding RNA, 87 nt
Organism: Canis lupus familiaris (dog)
Lineage: Eukaryota; Metazoa; Chordata; Mammalia; Carnivora; Canidae
Source: Rfam
UACCUAACUGGAUUAGGGCCCUGGCUCCAUCUCCUUUAGGAAAACCUUCUGUGGGGAGUGGGGCUUUGACCCUAACCCAGCUGGGCU